UCCUGGUUUCCCAGGCAGUCCCACUAGAGUGCUCUGCAUAACAGAUAGCAACUAAUGGCAAGAGUUGCGCUCGUUAAAGGACUUAACCCAACAUCUCACGACACGAGCUGACGACAACCAUGCAGCACCUGUGUAUCUGUCUGAACCGAAGCCCAAAAGAUCAUAUUUCUAUGACUGUCAAAUACAUGUCAAGUCUAGGUAAGGUUCCUCGCGUAGUGUCGAAUUAAACCACAUGUUCCACCGCUUGUGCGGGCCCCCGUCAAUUCCUUUGAGUUUUAAUCUUGCGAUCGUAAUCCCCAGGCGGACCACUUAGCGCGUUAGCUACGACACCAACUCUGCAAAACAGAGCUGACGUCCAGUGAUCAUCGUUUACAGCGUGGACUAC
RNAcentral lists this unclassified non-coding RNA (385 nucleotides) under uncultured bacterium. RNAcentral's name for it is "contains 16S-23S intergenic spacer region". The record is from RNAcentral.